GACCCAACCCGGAAGUGUGAACAGAGUGGAGGCACCGCGUCAUUCAGGACAGCGUCUUUAUCUUUGAUAGAAAAGGAAAAAAAGUGGAAAAGCAACAGAUCCGAGGGGCGUCAUAUGUGUCCGAUUAAAAUCUGAUAAAGUCUCUGGAUAAGUCGCCUUGAAGGGGAUGCUGGGUGUCUCGGAAAUGACGGGCAGCAACAUGGCUAAUGCCCUGGCAAACGCCUCGUGCGAACGGUGCAGGAGUGGCUUCGCCCCCACGGAGAAAAUCGUCAACAGUAACGGUGAGCUGUAUCACGAGCAGUGCUUCGUCUGUGCCCAGUGUUUCCAGCAGUUCCCAGAAGGGCUCUUUUAUGAGUUUGAGGGAAGAAAAUACUGUGAGCGUGAUUUCCAGAUGUUGUUCGCUCCGUGCUGUCAUCAGUGUGGAGAGUUUAUAAUUGGGCGUGUGAUUAAGGCCAUGAAUAACAGCUGGCAUCCCGACUGCUUCUGCUGUAAUAUCUGCCAAGCCGUACUCGCUGAUGUUGGAUUCGUCAAAAACGCUGGCCGCCACCUGUGCCGUCCGUGUCAUAACCGCGAGAAGGCGCGCGGACUCGGAAAGUACAUCUGUCAGAAGUGUCACGCCAUCAUCGAGGAGCAGCCUCUCAUUUUCAAAAACGACCCCUACCAUCCGGACCACUUCAACUGCAGCAACUGCAGUAAGGAGCUGACGGCUGACGCCCGUGAACUGAAGGGUGAACUCUACUGCCUCCCCUGCCAUGAUAAAAUGGGCGUGCCCAUCUGCGGCGCCUGCAGGCGUCCGAUCGAGGGCCGUGUGGUGAAUGCCAUGGGCAAGCAGUGGCAUGUUGAGCAUUUUGUCUGUGCCAAGUGCGAGAAACCCUUCCUGGGACACCGUCAUUAUGAGAGGAAAGGUCUGGCUUACUGCGAGACCCAUUACAACCAGCUCUUCGGGGACGUUUGUUACCAUUGCAACCGCGUGAUCGAGGGAGACGUGGUCUCUGCUCUGAAUAAGGCUUGGUGUGUGAAUUGUUUCUCCUGCGCAACAUGUAACACCAAGCUCACCCUCAAGUAAGUGAUCUCACACACUAUUUAAUGAAGUCACCGGAGAUGCAAAGUGGCUUGUGAGAGGUUUCUUUAAAGCGCAAUGUUAUUCAGGUAAGACAUAUGUGAGGAUGUGAAUCUAAAAUGCAAAAAGAUUGAGUAGCUGUGUGCUGUCACCCUUUCCUCUUCUUUGUUAUUGACUCUUCUGUAUCUGUACAUUUGUCUGGUUCUGUUCAGUAAAGUGUCUUUAAAUUGGGUCUCUCGGCUGCUGUGUGCCCUUCUGAUGUUUUCUUUGGAUCAUUACUAACUUUUCUGUACUCCUAAUGCUUGUAUUUUUUUAUUUCUGUCUCCCUCAAUCCUCUCCACUGCUCUUAAAAUGGCACCACAUCCUCUUUUUCUUUCCCACUUAAAAUCUGUAUCCUCUUCCCAUCCGCUUUCCCUCUUGUUGCUCGUUUCUUCUGUCCUGCCUCUCGGUGGCCCUGAAGGGACAGAUUUGUGGAGGUGGACCUAAAGCCGGUGUGUAAACACUGUUACGAGCGGCUGCCGGAAGAACUAAAACGUCGUUUGGCGAAGCGUGAACGCGACUCUCGUGAACGCCGAAAGAAAGCCUUCGCUGUCUGAACAAGUUUGUGGAGUUCGACAUGAAGCCAGUGUGUAAGAAAUGUUACGAGAAGUUUCCUCUGGAGCUGAAGAAGAGACUCAAGAAGCUAGCGGAAACUUUGGGCCGCAAGUAGACCUCUUCAACUACAGGAGGAGCCAAAGGCUGAACAAGUAUUCCAACAGUGGUGCUUCAAGAAUAGACCAAAGAAAAUUUGGACUACUUAUUGGUAUCUUGCGUCUUAUCUGUGUAGUCUUACUUAAAUGAUGUAUUUCAGAUAUCCGUCUUUUUGGCAUUGCUAUAAGAAGCCCACAGAUUUUCAUUGGUCUCACACCAAAUGUUGUUGUCGUGUGUUAACAAGCUCGUAUAAUCAUUGAAACUUUAACCAAACAAAUGCAUUUUAUAUUGUCUUAUGCUAUAUAUGUGUACUUGCAUGUUUAUAAAGUUGAUUCUAGAUGUGGGCACACUUUCACAGGGCUUGUGAUCAUCCAGCACGUAUUUGAGAUGUUUUUCCUUCCUCAAAGCUAAAACCGUUCCUGUGUCUGGCCCUGGGCCUCAGCUUUGAUCUGUUGAUCUAAGAGUGUUAUUUGAUAUUUAAUGUAUGCCCAAGCCUAACAUUUUCUGUCUGAGAGGGAAUCAAAAAGUAGCGCAUGAUGUAAUAGGCUUAGAAGAAUGCAACAACCUUUAAACUCAACCUUCGAACUCUUCACUCCCAACAGUUUAAAUUCUGCAAUCUCCCCCUUUGCUUUUAUUGCGCUUUAUUAAAAGGCUUUCUUGUCUGUUAGAAAUAUGCAAUCAUUUAUAUCACCUUCAUUUCUACAUGGUUUAAAGUGUCCCUGUUUCACAUACUUAUGUGUUACUGUUACUGUUUUAAAGUACUUUUUUAACGUUUUACUUCUAAGACUGUAAAUUUAGGAGCCAUAUGCCUUAUUUUAUUACAGCCCUUUAAAAUCGACAGAUUAACUCGUGCCUUGUUUUUUGUUAUCCAAAUAAAUGGCGGAUUAUGUAUGAUUUAUGUAACAAAUGACAGAAUUGAAUUCUGAUUCUUAAUUCUACCCUUGUUGGAAGUCUUAAAACGAAGUUUUUUUUAAUAAUUUGUGUAUUUUAAACUUUCACCUCACUACAUUUCAGAUUUAAUGUUUUUUCACUCGUUUUAAAGAGCUUUCCUUGAGAAAGGUUGCAAAAUAAAUUACAGAAAUAUAUGGAGCAUUGGCAAAUAUACUUUUAUGCAUUUAUCUAUAUCUGGAUUCGCUGAUGCGUUUGAGCAGAAAAUACAGAGUUGUGAUGCUUGCUGGCAGCUUUGAUAUAAUACAAUUCACUGUUCUGUAUGAAAUGUCAAAAUAUAAUAAUAAAGUAUGCACUAUUUCACUA
RNA transcript from Triplophysa dalaica, 3004 nucleotides. It is a transcript of the gene named LIM and senescent cell antigen-like domains 1, with no coding region annotated. The transcript is spliced from 10 exons. The record is from RefSeq and is a predicted model, not a curated record. NCBI's taxonomy places the organism in Eukaryota, Metazoa, Chordata, Actinopteri, Cypriniformes, Nemacheilidae.